RNAcentral lists this ribosomal RNA (292 nucleotides) under uncultured bacterium. Its description in RNAcentral is "partial 16S ribosomal RNA". It matches the Rfam family "Bacterial small subunit ribosomal RNA", at positions 505 to 796 of the family's 1533-position model. The record is from RNAcentral.
GUGUCAGCAGCCGCGGUAAUACGAACUGUGCGAACGUUAUUCGGAAUCACUGGGCUUAAAGGGUGCGUAGGCGGCUGCCUAAGUCAGGUGUGAAAUCUCUCGGCUCAACCGGGAAACUGCGCUUGAUACUGGGCGGCUCGAGUGAGGUAGGGGUGUGUGGAACUUCCGGUGGAGCGGUGAAAUGUGUAGAUAUCGGAAGGAACGCCAGCAGCGAAAGCGGCACACUGGGCCUUUUCUGACGCUGAGGCACGAAAGCCAGGGGAGCGAACGGGAUUAGAAACCCCUGUAGUCC